Molecule: ribosomal RNA, 1436 nt
Filed under: Salmonella enterica
Lineage: Bacteria; Pseudomonadati; Pseudomonadota; Gammaproteobacteria; Enterobacterales; Enterobacteriaceae
Description: bacterial SSU rRNA
Rfam family: Bacterial small subunit ribosomal RNA
Source: RNAcentral
GCUGACGAGUGGCGGACGGGUGAGUAAUGUCUGGGAAACUGCCUGAUGGAGGGGGAUAACUACUGGAAACGGUGGCUAAUACCGCAUAACGUCGCAAGACCAAAGAGGGGGACCUUCGGGCCUCUUGCCAUCAGAUGUGCCCAGAUGGGAUUAGCUUGUUGGUGAGGUAACGGCUCACCAAGGCGACGAUCCCUAGCUGGUCUGAGAGGAUGACCAGCCACACUGGAACUGAGACACGGUCCAGACUCCUACGGGAGGCAGCAGUGGGGAAUAUUGCACAAUGGGCGCAAGCCUGAUGCAGCCAUGCCGCGUGUAUGAAGAAGGCCUUCGGGUUGUAAAGUACUUUCAGCGGGGAGGAAGGUGUUGUGGUUAAUAACCGCAGCAAUUGACGUUACCCGCAGAAGAAGCACCGGCUAACUCCGUGCCAGCAGCCGCGGUAAUACGGAGGGUGCAAGCGUUAAUCGGAAUUACUGGGCGUAAAGCGCACGCAGGCGGUCUGUCAAGUCGGAUGUGAAAUCCCCGGGCUCAACCUGGGAACUGCAUUCGAAACUGGCAGGCUUGAGUCUUGUAGAGGGGGGUAGAAUUCCAGGUGUAGCGGUGAAAUGCGUAGAGAUCUGGAGGAAUACCGGUGGCGAAGGCGGCCCCCUGGACAAAGACUGACGCUCAGGUGCGAAAGCGUGGGGAGCAAACAGGAUUAGAUACCCUGGUAGUCCACGCCGUAAACGAUGUCUACUUGGAGGUUGUGCCCUUGAGGCGUGGCUUCCGGAGCUAACGCGUUAAGUAGACCGCCUGGGGAGUACGGCCGCAAGGUUAAAACUCAAAUGAAUUGACGGGGGCCCGCACAAGCGGUGGAGCAUGUGGUUUAAUUCGAUGCAACGCGAAGAACCUUACCUGGUCUUGACAUCCACGGAAGUUUUCAGAGAUGAGAAUGUGCCUUCGGGAACCGUGAGACAGGUGCUGCAUGGCUGUCGUCAGCUCGUGUUGUGAAAUGUUGGGUUAAGUCCCGCAACGAGCGCAACCCUUAUCCUUUGUUGCCAGCGGUCCGGCCGGGAACUCAAAGGAGACUGCCAGUGAUAAACUGGAGGAAGGUGGGGAUGACGUCAAGUCAUCAUGGCCCUUACGACCAGGGCUACACACGUGCUACAAUGGCGCAUACAAAGAGAAGCGACCUCGCGAGAGCAAGCGGACCUCAUAAAGUGCGUCGUAGUCCGGAUUGGAGUCUGCAACUCGACUCCAUGAAGUCGGAAUCGCUAGUAAUCGUGGAUCAGAAUGCCACGGUGAAUACGUUCCCGGGCCUUGUACACACCGCCCGUCACACCAUGGGAGUGGGUUGCAAAAGAAGUAGGUAGCUUAACCUUCGGGAGGGCGCUUACCACUUUGUGAUUCAUGACUGGGGUGAAGUCGUAACAAGGUAACCGUAGGGGAACCUGCGGUUG